GUUCACAGUAAGACAGUUCACGUACACAGUAGGACAGUACACAGUAGAACAGUUCACAGACAGUACACAGUAGGACAGUACACAGUAGAACAGUUCACAGUACACAGUAGGACAGUACACAGGACAGUUUACAGUACACAGUAGGACAGUACACAGUAGGACAGUUCACAGUAGGACAGUACAUAGUAGGACAGUUUCCAUGACACAGCAAUUAGUAGGACAGUUUCCAAGACAGUAGAGAAGUUUCCAUGACAGUUUCCAGAGGCCUGUUAACUCAAUAGACACAGUUGAAUAGAAAUGGUGAAAUAUUGAAGGUACAGACAGCAUAAGCAAUUUGCCCAGAGACACACAGUGGGAAUGCAGAGUAGUUAGAUGGAAAUCUAGGCCUGAUUUCAAACUCAUUCUCCUGGAAUUGAUAAAUAACUUUAUACAUAAAAUACCGAAAUGACAACUGGCCAUUCAAAACCUCAACAAAGAGCCAAGGUAGGCUUUAGAAACAAAACCGAACCAAAAAAAUCAGCUUAUGUCUUUAAUUCAGCAUAUUAAAUAUUAAGAAAACAUUUUCAAAUGAUGUAUAACAGAUAAUUUUUUAAAGCACAAAUAAGGAAGCAUUUAAAUAAUUUGAAUUCCCUUACUUUAUUUCAGAUAUUCCAGGGGAGAUUGUAGAAUCCCCCUCCAUGAAUCCCCUUCUUGGAAAUAAAGAAUAAAGUUAGAGAUGAAGAGAAAGAGGGGGAAGAAUUGAAUAGAGGAACCUGGCAAUCCAUUCAUAUUCACUUUGGUAGUUGGAAAUGAAAGUGAGAGACAGGGAUUAAGGAUUCUCCUAAAAUUAUUU
This 832-nucleotide long non-coding RNA is filed under the name Homo sapiens (human). RNAcentral's name for it is "HSALNT0141282". Lineage: Eukaryota; Metazoa; Chordata; Mammalia; Primates; Hominidae. The record is from RNAcentral.